GAAAUUUGAGUUGCAUGCUGCAACAGAUAUUAGGAGGAUUGUUCAUUCAAUCUCAAAGAGAGGUCAUAUCUCCUCGCUUGAUGAUGCUGUAUUAAGCUUCUUUGAUGUUAUUACCUGAUUGAAACAAGCAAUAAAAUCAAGGUAACAGAAGAAAUACAAGCGAACAAAAAUUGAUUUCCUAACAUUUAAAGAAUUACUGGAGAUACAUCUAGAUGACUAUUUUAAACCGAGAAUGCACAUUCAAGCAUUUCUGAUUCAUUGAAUUGGAUGAGGGAAAAAUUUUAAUCAGAUCCAGGAAGCAAUUUAACAUUGGCUUUUCCCAAAUGUCUAGCUGCAGCAGGAAUUAUUCGGGAAGGUGAGAGAACCUCAGCAUAAGAUAUGUUAUAUGAAUCUGCGCCUAGUCGACAUUGUAACCAUCCUUUGCUUCCAGAAAAUCCAUCCGCUACAAUCCAGCAGUUCUUAAAUCCAAGACUUGUUAGUGCUCUAGCAACCGUUUUGCUGAAUCUGAGUACCUGAAUAUCUCAAGGCAUUCAAGUUAAAAGCCAGAAAAAACAUGAAAGAAAGAAAUCAUUGGAUCUUUAAAGCAGAGCUAUAUAUAUAGAUCAUAGGAGAGAAGCAAGGAGGAAGAAUCCACGAGUCCAUGAUAACAAUGUUGGAGCCUUUGUUGAUUUUCUUGAGAUAUGAAAUCUUCAAAGCAGCUAAUUCAGCCUCUACUUUCUUUACAUUUCCGACAAGGUCUCUCAACUUGCUUGGUAGCUCUUCCAAACUUAAACAUCAGUGGUAAUGAUAAGUUAUAACUGAAAAAUGCUGAUCUAAACUGUAAUAAGAACCAUAAAAGAAGAAAGCAAAGAAAGAAUGCAAGUCAAGGAUUCUCAACCUUCCAAUGCAUUGCUUAAUCUCAAAAGGAUUUCUAGCAUGCCUGGUGCAACUGGUUGUCUAGUUAGGGGGUGCAACUGGUUGUCUUGUUAGGGAAAUUAGAAAUCAUACAACAAUAACUUUUGCAUCUUCUAAAAUCUUCUUACCAUCAGGUAGAUAGUUAUAUUUCUAAGAAAAGAAGGAAGGUGACAAGCUUCCGUAGUGCAUUUUUUUACUUUUAAUCUCAUAAUACUUAACAGCCAAAGAAAUAAGAAACAGCAGGAAUAGUCCUAAUAUUCUUGACUUUUUCUGCUGGAUCACAAAAAUGAAAUGAAUGCACUGAAACAAAUAGAUUUAUUUACUUACGGAAUUGCGAUCAUCUUGUUCUUAGCAUUGGAGGGAAGGCGGGGUAUACCAGCCUUCUUCUUCUCCUUCUCUGAACGAAUGUCUAUCAUAACAUAAUUUUUUGUAGAUACUAGAUCAAGGGUAUGAGCAGGAGUCAGCUCACCUAAAGGGUCACAGCAAGACAUGGAUUAGCCCCACUUCAUAAUAUUAGUUUCCCAUUAUUCCAUAACUUCCUCUAGUACAAACUUGAAAAAGCUAGACAGGAAGGAAUAUGAAAUAUGAAAAUCCUUGGUGUGGUGAGCCACCACAGUGAACGGAACAGUGCUGUAGUGAUUAAGAAAUCGAAUGAACAAAUAUAGUAAGUGAAUUAGUUGUUAAAAAUGUGAUUACAAAAUGUCAAUGAACAAAUACAACUAUGGAAAACUGAAUAAAGUAAAUGCAGAAAGUGAAUAAUGGAAUACAGAUUGUGUAUGAAACUUAUGAAAAUUUUGUAAUAAAAAGUGACUCACCACGACACUAUUCACUGUAUUGAGCCAUUAUACCUAGGAAAGCUCUGUGAAAUAAAGGCUCAUAUUCAAUAUUGAACCAGUAACUGGAAUUUCAAAGGGUUACCAUGGUACCUAAAUCUAAUCUCUUUUUAUACUUCAUUUUCACUUGUCUAUAUCUACUAGUGGAAUCCAUUCAAGCCUCCCUACAUUAAGCGAAACAUUAGAU
Molecule: unclassified non-coding RNA, 1914 nt
Filed under: Hevea brasiliensis (rubber tree)
Lineage: Eukaryota; Viridiplantae; Streptophyta; Magnoliopsida; Malpighiales; Euphorbiaceae
Source: RNAcentral